GUCAUUAUCCGCUCGCAAGGCGAGGAGGUGCCCCACGGCUUCACCUGCAUCGAGACCACGACCUCUGGCCACCCUGUGGACCUCAAUGCUGGGCUGCUCAACAACCCCCAGAUGUACAUAUGUUACAAGCGGGGCCGGGACAAGCUGCCCCUCAUCGAGCUGGGGUGAGUCCCGGGGGCCACCACAGCUUCCCCCGUGCCUGGCUCCCCAUUGCCCCCACAGCAGCCCAUGGGGGCCGACCUCCCCGGGUGCCCAUCUCAUCUUUCCUCUGCACCCAGGGUGCACUAUGAGGGCAAGGACCGCCCGAAGCCAGGCUACAAGAUCUUGGACACGACGCCAUNNNNNNNNNNNNNNNNNNNNNNNNNNNNNCACGCCCCCUUCCUCAUGUACCGGAGGGCGGCCGAGUCGCAGGGCCACAACACGCUGGGCGUCACCGACAUCUGCCUCGUCAUGCCGAGCAAGGGCGAGAGCACCCCUCACACCUUCUGCCGGGUGGACAAGAACCUCAACACCAGCAUGUGGGGCCCGGCGCUGUUCCUGUGCUACAAGAUCGCAAUGGCCAAGGCCAACACGCUGGUGUACGAAGCAGGUAGGGUCCUGGCGGUGGCACGUCCCUGCUCAGGGGGUUUUUGCUCUUGGGAGCCACUGGGGCUGGGCAGAGGGGUUGAGGGCUUGUCUCAGACCUGUAGCUGAUGCCUUGCUGUGCUGCUGCGUUGCUGUAUCCCCAAGCAACCCUUUGAGGGCGAUGGACCGUCCUUCCCAGCUCUGCUGGCAGCUCUCAUCCUGCCCCAGCUGCCCUGGGUUUGACGGGCUCCAGCACACCAACCUGCUCUCUUCCCAGGGCUUCUGGGCCGCUACCCUGAGCAGGACAGUGAGUCCUUCCCUCUCCCU
This 891-nucleotide long non-coding RNA is filed under the name Struthio camelus australis. RNAcentral's name for it is "lncRNA (ENSSCUG00000007902.1)". Lineage: Eukaryota; Metazoa; Chordata; Aves; Struthioniformes; Struthionidae. The record is from RNAcentral.